ACGGAAGGCAGCAGUGGGGGAUAUUGCACAAUGGGGGAAACCCUGAUGCAGCGACGCCGCGUGAGUGAAGAAGUAUUUCGGUAUGUAAAGCUCUAUCAGCAGGGAAGAAAAUGACGGUACCUGACUAAGAAGCUCCGGCUAAAUACGUGCCAGCAGCCGCGGUAAUACGUAUGGAGCAAGCGUUAUCCGGAUUUACUGGGUGUAAAGGGAGCGCAGACGGUUUGCCAAGUCUGAUGUGAAAGCUAGGGGCUCAACCCCUAAACUGCAUUGGAAACUGGUAGACUAGAGUGUCGGAGAGGUAAGUGGAAUUCCUAGUGUAGCGGUGAAAUGCGUAGAUAUUAGGAAGAACACCAGUGGCGAAGGCGGUUAGCUGGACAAUAACUGACGCUGAGGCGCGAAAGCGUGGGUAGCAAACAGGAUUAGAUACCCUGGUA
RNAcentral lists this ribosomal RNA (434 nucleotides) under uncultured Lachnospiraceae bacterium. RNAcentral's name for it is "bacterial SSU rRNA". It matches the Rfam family "Bacterial small subunit ribosomal RNA", at positions 341 to 792 of the family's 1533-position model. Lineage: Bacteria; Bacillati; Bacillota; Clostridia; Lachnospirales; Lachnospiraceae. The record is from RNAcentral.